CAUACUCAUUUAGCCCCCGGGGGAAAGGUGGCUCACCCAUAAAAAAUUUGGUCCCGGGCCCUGAGUAUUUUAGUGUUAACCUUGAUCUCAUAGUGUGACCCUCCCAGUCUGAGUCAGGGAGUGAAGCUGAGCAGUGCUGGCGGCCCAGGAAAAUAUGAAUCGACCAGGGAGAAGGGACUGUUUAUAGGGAAGCUUUUGCUCCAUCCAUUCCAAACCAAAUCAGCCCCUUUUGUACAGGAACCAUAUGCAUGUUAUGGAGUCAAGGUACACCAUCGUAAGUGCAGCGCUUUUACCAUCAGACAGGUUGACUGCAGUAAUGUCUGGCACCCGGAGAGAUUGAUCCCAUCUAGUUAUUUCAGCAAUGAACUAGAUUCAACAAAAGGUUGACCAAAUGAAUCAGAGGAGGUUGUAAGUAUUUGUGACACACCACCAGACUACAUGGCACCUGAUGAUGACUGAUAAGCCAUUUCAAGUUGAUGUUAACUGAAACAUUUGUUUGUCAUUGCUGUGGUGGUUAGGGCUGGUAAAAGCCAUACCAGUAAUGUAACUAUGACCAAAUCCCAUUUAAAUCAGCACUUUAUCAGCUUCAGUAGUCACUCAUUAACUUUUAAAUAUAAGAUUAACGGCCCUUAUCCAGGCUUUUUAACUUUUGUGUUUAUGUUUGCUCUUUACUUCUCUUCAAGUGACCUUAUCUGCCCAUGCUGCUGUAGACGUCCUGGGACACCGGUACUCUAAAGAGCGUGAGGCUGUCUGUCAUCACCAGGCGUCGCUUGGCUAUAUCUGGCUCUUUCAGACCUGCCACGUCUCUCAGCAUGCUUUUUGUCUUCCCUCUAAUAACCCGCCGCACAUGUCGAGUGCCUCAGAAUAAGCCGCAGUUGCAGUUUCUAUGCAAUGUGACAUCAUAUCGCACAGGCCCAUCCCACGACUGCUGACGGACUCUGUUCUAUUAGCAUAGUCUCCGUCCUGAGUGAGCUGUACACAGUCCGCCAUGUUUAUCUCCUCAACAGCAGCAUUCAGAACUCCAAAUGAGGCCACAAAAACAUCUCUAAUUUACGUCAUCUGUGAAUUCUGUGGCUGGUGAAAGAAGGAAGAGAGUCUGACCAUCAUGGAAAUUUCUCUAAACAUCUCCACACCACAGUACAAAAAGACUUGCAUGUUAGGAGCGACAUGAGGAGGCCGGGGGGGGGACCCAGGUCAUGGUCCCCCUUCUUCUUUCUUCGGGUGCUGACUUCACUCUCCUCUUCACCGAUGUCUCACCACUUCAGUUUCCUGUUCCACACGCUGUUCUGUCUGCUCCUCCAUCCAGUCAUCCUUGGUCUGGUCUGCUGCUCUGCUCUGUCAGCCAUUCCACUCCACUGCUCCAUCCUCGGUCUGGUCAGCCGCUCCGCUCCAUCCAUCCGCUCUGCUCCAUCCAGUCAGCUGCUCCGCCUCAGUCUCCACUGCUCCAUCCUGGGUCUGGUCUGCCGCUCAGUCUCCACUGCUCCAUCCUCGGUCUGGUCAGCCGCUCUGCUCCAUCCGGUCAGCCGCUCUGCUCCAUCCGGUCAGCCGCUCCGCUCCAUCCGGUCAGCCGCUCCGCCUCAGUCUCCACUGCUCCAUCCUCGGUCUGGUCAGCCACUCUGCUCCAAGAUCUGGCUGGAUUUGAACCAGUGACCUCUGGCAUUGUGUGCCAGUGCUCUACCACCGAGCCACAGAUCUCUUACUA
Ctenopharyngodon idella (grass carp) is the source of this 1702-nucleotide long non-coding RNA. RefSeq lists it as uncharacterized. The record is from RefSeq and is a predicted model, not a curated record. The transcript has 7 exons. Lineage: Eukaryota; Metazoa; Chordata; Actinopteri; Cypriniformes; Xenocyprididae.